UACGGAGGAUCCAAGCGUUAUCCGGAUUCAUUGGGGUUAAAGGGUGCGUAGGCGGGAUAGUAAGUCAGUGGUGAAAUCCUGCAGCUUAACUGCAGAACUGCCAUUGAUACUGCUAACCUAGAGUACAGCUGAUGUGGGCGGAAUGUGUCGUGUAGCGGUGAAAUGCUUAGAUAUGACACAGAACACCGAUUGCGAAGGCAGCUCACAAAACUGUAACUGACGCUGAGGCACGAAAGUGUGGGGAUCGAACAGG
Molecule: ribosomal RNA, 253 nt
Filed under: uncultured bacterium
Lineage: Bacteria
Description: partial 16S ribosomal RNA
Rfam family: Bacterial small subunit ribosomal RNA
Source: RNAcentral